AGUGAACGCUGGCGGUAGGCCUUACACAUGCAAGUCGAACGGCAGCACGGGAGCAAUCCUGGUGGCGAGUGGCGAACGGGUGAGUAAUAUAUCGGAACGUGCCCAGUAGUGGGGGAUAACUGCUCGAAAGAGCAGCUAAUACCGCAUACGACCUGAGGGUGAAAGGGGGGGAUCGCAAGACCUCUCGCUAUUGGAGCGGCCGAUAUCAGAUUAGCUAGUUGGUGGGGUAAAGGCCUACCAAGGCAACGAUCUGUAGUUGGUCUGAGAGGACGACCAGCCACACUGGGACUGAGACACGGCCCAGACGCCUACGGGAGGCAGCAGUGGCGAAUUUUGGACAAUGGGCGCAAGCAUGAUCCAGCAAUGCCGCGUGCAGGAAGAAGGCCUUCGGGUUGUAAACUGCUUUUGUCAGGGAAGAAAUCCUCUAGGUUAAUACCCUUGGGGGGAUGACGGUACCUGAAGAAUAAGCACCGGCUAACUACGUGCCAGCCGCCGCGGUAA
Molecule: ribosomal RNA, 501 nt
Filed under: uncultured bacterium
Lineage: Bacteria
Description: partial 16S ribosomal RNA
Rfam family: Bacterial small subunit ribosomal RNA
Source: RNAcentral